RNAcentral lists this transfer RNA (77 nucleotides) under Nitrospirota bacterium. Its description in RNAcentral is "tRNA-Pro". It matches the Rfam family "tRNA". Rfam says of the family: Transfer RNA (tRNA) molecules are approximately 80 nucleotides in length. Their secondary structure includes four short double-helical elements and three loops (D, anti-codon, and T loops). The record is from RNAcentral. RNAcentral also lists the same sequence under 1 other name. Lineage: Bacteria; Pseudomonadati; Nitrospirota.
CGGGGCGUAGCGCAGCUCGGUAGCGCACUGCGUUCGGGACGCAGGGGUCGGAGGUUCAAAUCCUCUCGCCCCGACCA